Suricata suricatta (meerkat) is the source of this 402-nucleotide long non-coding RNA. RefSeq lists it as uncharacterized. The transcript is spliced from 5 exons. The record is from RefSeq and is a predicted model, not a curated record. NCBI's taxonomy places the organism in Eukaryota, Metazoa, Chordata, Mammalia, Carnivora, Herpestidae.
CCUGGACGCACCGCGGCGCUUUCUCCCGCGGAUAGAGGAAGCGAAGCGCGUUAGUCCCAGGCUAAGAAAGAAGGUAUUCUCUGUAAGAGGGAUUUGGAAGCAGAGAAACUGAGAUAAAGAGACUUUCCCAAGUUUCAUGGGUAAAACGUGAUGGGGCCAGACCCUGAACCCAACUCAUUUAAUGACGGUCGGGAAAAUAAAGCAGAGCCUUGGUUCAGACCCGGACGUGUGCCUCCUCUCCUUGUUCCUUUCAUUCUGACUUGUCGAGGAGGCCAGCAAACUCAGCAGUGACACAGGAGCCUUAUACACUGCUGAGCCCUGGAAAUACCUGCAAGCCCAUUGACCAGAAUGAAGUUACAUAUCCAGGCAUAACCACAAAGGAGUUUGGAAACAUAAAGAAGC